Molecule: ribosomal RNA, 253 nt
Filed under: uncultured bacterium
Lineage: Bacteria
Description: partial 16S ribosomal RNA
Rfam family: Bacterial small subunit ribosomal RNA
Source: RNAcentral
UACGUAGGGGGCAAGCGUUGUCCGGAUUUACUGGGCGUAAAGCGCGCGUAGGCGGAAGCUCAAGUCUGGCCUGAAAGACCCCGGCUCAACCGUGGAGGGUCAUUGGAAACUGGGAGACUUGAGUGCAGAAGAGGAAAGCGGAAUUCCACGUGUAGCGGUGAAAUGCGUAGAGAUGUGGAGGAACACCAGUGGCGAAGGCGGCUUUCUGGUCUGUAACUGACGCUGAGGCGCGAAAGCGUGGGGAGCAAACAGG